UUAACUCAAAUUUGUAUGGAGUUAUAACGAUUGCCUACGUUUGCCGCUAGGGCAAUGCUGUUCCAACGGCAUACAGCUUUGAGUUA
This 86-nucleotide microRNA precursor is filed under the name Bombyx mori (domestic silkworm). RNAcentral's name for it is "mir-2807 microRNA precursor family". It matches the Rfam family "mir-2807 microRNA precursor family". Lineage: Eukaryota; Metazoa; Arthropoda; Insecta; Lepidoptera; Bombycidae. The record is from Rfam by way of RNAcentral.